CAACUAGAAACAAAGAAAAGUUGCAAGACCACUAGCAGCUGGUCAGCAGACCAAAGCUGGGAACUGACAGUACUACACGGCUUUUUGUAGCAUCCUAAACAGAAGGAUAUUGAAGGGAGCUGAUUCUGCUUUGAUCCUUAUGCUUGUUGUCAAAGCGCUUGGGAUUGAAGAGACUGUUGGCUACAAUUGACUGUGACAAUUAGGAGAUGAUCAGAGCCCUAGAGUGGAGCACUUAAAGGGGGAACCUCUAGUUCUGUGGUUGGCUUGCUGUAUGGGGAAGACAAGCAUCAAAAGAACAGCAAGUGCUUUACAGACAAAGAACCAUGAUCCCAGCCACAAGAACUUACCAUCUGAAUUUGCAGGGUGAAGUGCAAAGGAUCUAUUUUCGUUUCCUAGAAAAGAGAGGUUGUAAGAAAAUGAGCCCUACCGGAAGUGAAGGAAUCAUUCAGGCAAAAGGAGUGGUUUUCCUAAGCAACCGGAUCAAAGUGAAAACUCUCAGAAUAGCUCACUAACAGGUUUCCUUUUGGACAUAGGUUCAUCAAAAGUAUCAGAUACUCGGUGUUUUAAUUCAUACUCCUCCAGCAAAUGGAAAUUCAGUGGGAAAUGUCCCAAGAACCUACACUGUCAGCAAGCCCUGCAAAUAUCUUGGAAUCUCCUUUCUUUUUUUGUAAAAGACUUUAAAAAUAAUUUGGUGGAUCUCUAAUCUAGUUAUCUGCUGUAACUGUAAUAUACACUGCAUGUCUGACUCCCACAGACGAAGGCCUCUGUUUCCUUUCUGCCAGUACCUUAGUAUCUGCCUUGCCCAGGAGUCUGCUGAUGAAGACUUCCUGUUUGUUUUGAGUCACUGUUGGAGUGAUAAAUAUAUUUCAGCUUUCUCUUCGGAGAGGAAAGAAACCAGCUGCCCUGAACUAAAGAGAAAAUAUGUAGAAAUUCCACCAAAGGGCUCUGUUAUCAUGGAGCUCCUAUGGAAGCAUAAAAAUGAGAAACAUAAGCUAUGACAAAAGAAAAAUUUACAUAUUAAACCAU
Molecule: long non-coding RNA, 1026 nt
Organism: Alligator sinensis (Chinese alligator)
Lineage: Eukaryota; Metazoa; Chordata; Crocodylia; Alligatoridae
Exons: 6
Source: RefSeq, a predicted model, not a curated record